Molecule: ribosomal RNA, 781 nt
Filed under: uncultured bacterium
Lineage: Bacteria
Description: bacterial SSU rRNA
Rfam family: Bacterial small subunit ribosomal RNA
Source: RNAcentral
AGUCGACGGAGAUACGAUUUCGGUUGUAUCUUAGUGGCGAACGGGUGAGUAACGCGUGAGCAACCUGACUCUUAGAGGGGGAUAACACUCGGAAACGGGUGCUAAUACCGCAUAAGACCACGACAUGGCAUCAUGACGAGGUCAAAGGAGCAAUCCGCUGAGAGAGGGGCUCGCGUCCCAUUAGAUAGAUGGCGGGGUAACGGCCCACCAUGUCCGCGAUGGGUAGCCGAGCUGAGAGGCUGAUCGGCCACACUGGAACUGAGACACGGUCCAGACUCCUACGGGAGGCAGCAGUGGGGAAUAUUGGGCAAUGGGCGCAAGCCUGACCCAGCAACGCCGCGUGAGGGAAGAAGGCUUUCGGGUUGUAAACCUCUGUCCUUGGUGACGAAAAAAAUGACGGUAGCCAAGGAGGAAGCCCCGGCUAACUACGUGCCAGCAGCCGCGGUAAUACGUAGGGGGCGAGCGUUGUCCGGAAUUACUGGGCGUAAAGGGUGCGUAGGUGGCCUUUUAAGUUGGAUGUGAAAUACCCGGGCUUAACCUGGGGGGUGCAUCUAAUACUGGAAGGCUAGAGUGCAGGAGAGGAAAGCGGAAUUCCUAGUGUAGCGGUGAAAUGCGUAGAUAUUAGGAGGAACACCAGUGGCGAAGGCGGCUUUCUGGACUGUAACUGACACUGAGGCACGAAAGCGUGGGGAGCAAACAGGAUUAGAUACCCUGGUAGUCCACGCGGUAAACGAUGAAUACUAGGUGUAGGGGGUAUCAACUCCCCCUGUGCCGGAGCUAA